Molecule: long non-coding RNA, 1396 nt
Filed under: Coturnix japonica (Japanese quail)
Lineage: Eukaryota; Metazoa; Chordata; Aves; Galliformes; Phasianidae
Description: lncRNA (ENSCJPG00005001639.1)
Source: RNAcentral
AUAGGGGAGGGUCCAAUGGUGGGGGGGGUCUCAUUGUCCCCAUGGGGGGGUCCCUGUUCCCCCCCCCCCAGGUGGAGUUCCAUCUGUGUAUCCGUGUGGGGGGCACCGUCAGUUCCUGCAGCCAUGGAUGUGCCCCCCCCCGAUGCCCUGUUCACAUUGACCCCAAUGUGGGACCCCCCCAUGGGGCAGCACAGCCGCCCCCAGCGGCUCCUGCUCUUCAUGUUCCUACAGCACCGGGACCCCUUCCAGCCCCACAACCACGGUUCCCGGCAGCUGGUUCUGACCCAUUUGGAGCCAACAUUGAGCUGCAGCCGAUCCCUGUUGGGCCGGGCAGUGAAGGAGCUGCUGCACCCACUGCUGGAUGGGGUGACAAGGAGGAAUAGGGUGACCCCAUAGGGACACAUAGAGACCCAUAGAUACCCCAUAGGGACCCAUAGAGACCCAUUGAGACCCCAUUGAGAGCCAUUGAGACCCCAUAGGGACACACAGGGACCUGCUGCACCCGCUGCUGGAUGGGGUGACAAGGAGGAAUAGGGUGACCCCAUAGAGACCCCAUAGAGAUCCACUGAGACCCAUAGAUACCCAUAGAGACCCAUAGAGACCCAUAGAGACCCAUAGAGACCCAUAGAGAUCCAUAGGAGCCCAUAGAGACCCAUAGAGACCCCAUAGAGACNCCCAUAGAGACCCAUAGAGACCCAUAGAGAUCCAUAGGAGCCCAUAGAGACCCAUAGAGACCCCAUAGAGACACAUAGACCUCAUAGAGACCCACUGAGAUCCAUUGAGACCCAUUGAGACCCAUAGAGACCCAUAGAUACCCAUAGAGACCCAUUGAGAUCCAUUGAGACCCCAUAGAGACCCAUAGAGACCCCAUAGAGACCCCAUUGAGACCCAUUGAGACCCCAUAGAGACCCAUAGAGACCCAUAGGGAUCCAUAGGAGCCCAUAGGGACACACAGGGACCUGCUGCACCCACUGCUGGAUGGGGUGACAAGGAGGAAUAGGGUGACCCCAUAGAGACCCCAUAGAGACCCAUAGAGACCCAUUGGGAUCCAUAGAGACCCAUUGAGACCCAUUGAGACCCCAUUGAGAUCCAUAGAGAGCCAUUGAGAGCCCAUAGGGACACACAGGGACCUGCUGCACCCGCUGCUGGAUGGGGUGACAAGGAGGAAUAGGGUGACCCCAUAGAGACCCCAUAGUACCCCAUAAAUACCCCAUAGGGACCCAUAGGGACCCCAUAGGGAUCCAUUGAGAUCCAUAGAGACCCAUAGGGAUCCAUAGAGACCCAUAGAGAUCCCAUAGAGACCCAUUGAGAGCCAUUGAGACCCCAUAGGGACACACAGGGACCUGCUGCACCCACUGCUGGAUGGGGUGACAAGGAGGAAUAGGGUGACCCCAUA